CCUACGGGAGGCAGCAGUGAGGAAUAUUGGUCAAUGGACGAGAGUCUGAACCAGCCAAGUAGCGUGAAGGAUGACUGCCCUAUGGGUUGUAAACUUCUUUUAUAUGGGAAUAAAAUGUUCCACGUGUGGGAUUUUGUAUGUACCAUAUGAAUAAGGACCGGCUAACUCCGUGCCAGCAGCCGCGGUAAUACGGAGGAUCCGAGCGUUAUCCGGAUUUAUUGGGUUUAAAGGGAGCGUAGGUGGAUUGUUAAGUCAGUUGUGAAAGUUUGCGGCUCAACCGUAAAAUUGCAGUUGAAACUGGCAGUCUUGAGUACAGUAGAGGUGGGCGGAAUUCGUGGUGUAGCGGUGAAAUGCUUAGAUAUCACGAAGAACUCCGAUUGCGAAGGCAGUUCACUGGACUGCAACUGACACUGAGGCUCGAAAGUGUGGGUAUCAAACAGGAUUAGAUACCCCUGUAGUC
RNAcentral lists this ribosomal RNA (460 nucleotides) under uncultured bacterium. RNAcentral's name for it is "partial 16S ribosomal RNA". It matches the Rfam family "Bacterial small subunit ribosomal RNA", at positions 338 to 795 of the family's 1533-position model. The record is from RNAcentral.